Molecule: ribosomal RNA, 642 nt
Filed under: Triticum aestivum (bread wheat)
Lineage: Eukaryota; Viridiplantae; Streptophyta; Magnoliopsida; Poales; Poaceae
Description: partial small subunit ribosomal RNA
Source: RNAcentral
AUGGGGGACUUGUCCACGAUUCAACAGCCACCCGGCACUGUCGCCAAGCAGGGCGACCAAGUUGGAGAGUUGGUGUCGGCUGGAUGGACAAACGACAGCCACAGCAUGUACAUAAGCUCCAUGGAGGCCUCCUUUGUGCGGCAACUCCGUGGCCAACAGUUACAGCACCACCACGCUCACGCUCCUGCUAGGAACAUCACCCAUGUGGCUGGCCAUGGGCUCAAGGCACUCCAUGUCCAAGAUGGAGCUCCCAGUGAGCUCAUGUCCGAGAGGAACGUCCCUCGCUCGCGUCAUGUGGGCGUAAGAGGCCUGCCCGAGGAUCCGUGGGCAAGGCGUUUCAGGCCACCCAGAGAUUAUUCCGGUGUCAAUCGUCGUGGUGAUGUGGUGGGUGCUUCGGCCGAUGAUGGUGAAUCGGGUACCGAGACGGUUCCGAAGACGGCUCGGAUGCAUAGAAGAGAAGUGGACAUUUGCGCCGGAGAAAAUCUUGUUGGCAAAAGCUCAGAAGCCUCUGGUCAGAAUUUUCUUGAAGACGAGGUUCAUUCCAUUGCUCAGCCAAUCAAAUCUUGCAAGAGAAGGAGGACUGCCCCUUCCACCGCUGCAGAUUCUUUCAUGUCGAUGCUUGAAUGCGGCGACGAGCGGUGA